UUUCCGUAGGUGAACCUGCGGAAGGAUCAUUAAAGUUAUAGUCCCCCGGCCCCUCCGGGCUGGGGUCUUCUAUACCACCCUUUGUUUAUUACACCUUUGUUGCUUUGGCAGGCCUGCCCUCGGGCUGCUGGCUCCUGCCGGCUCGUGCCUGCCAGAGGACCUAAACUCUGUUUGUAUAUGAAGUCUGAGUACUAUAUAAUAGUUAAAACUUUCAACAACGGAUCUCUUGGUUCUG
This 235-nucleotide unclassified non-coding RNA is filed under the name plant metagenome. RNAcentral's name for it is "partial contains small subunit ribosomal RNA, internal transcribed spacer 1, and 5.8S ribosomal RNA". The record is from RNAcentral.